UACGAUGGGAGCGAGCGUUAUCCAUAAUGACUGGGCGUAAAGGGUUCGUAGGUGGUUUUGCACUGUUGCAUUCGAAAUCCCAAACAGAACUUUGGAAGUGUAUACAAGACCGCAAAACUGGAGGAAAACAAAGGUAGGUGGAAUUUUGCAAGGAGGGAUGGUAUCUGGAGAUAUGUAAAAGAAUAUCGGUGUGCACAGGCAGCUUACUAGUUUCUUACUAACAUUGGGGAACUAAAGCGUGGGGAGCAAACAGG
Molecule: ribosomal RNA, 254 nt
Filed under: uncultured bacterium
Lineage: Bacteria
Description: partial 16S ribosomal RNA
Rfam family: Bacterial small subunit ribosomal RNA
Source: RNAcentral